GAUGAACGCUGGCGGCGUGCCUAAUACAUGCAAGUCGAGCGAACGGACUAGUAGCUUGCUUUUCUGAUGUUAGCGGCGGACGGGUGAGUAACACGUGGAUAACCUACCUAUCAGACUGGGAUACCUUCGGGAAACCGGCGCUUAUACCGGAUAAUAUUUUGAACCGCAUGGUUCAAGAGUGAAAGACGGUCUUGCUGUCACUUAUAGAUGGAUCCGCGCUGCAUUAGCUAGUUGGUAAGGUAACGGCUUACCAAGGCAACGAUGCAUAGCCGACCUGAGAGGGGGAUCGGCCACACGGGAACGGAGACACGGUCAAGACUCCUAAGGGAGGCAGCAGUAGGGAAUGUUACGCAAUGGGCGAAAGCCUGACGGAGCAACGGCGCGUGAGUGAUGAAGGUCUUCGGAGCGUAAAACUCUGUUAUGAGGGAAGAACAUAUGUGUAAGUAACUGUGCACAACGUGACGGUACCUAAUCAGAAAGCCACGGCUAACUACGUG
This 497-nucleotide ribosomal RNA is filed under the name uncultured bacterium. Its description in RNAcentral is "partial 16S ribosomal RNA". It matches the Rfam family "Bacterial small subunit ribosomal RNA", at positions 28 to 507 of the family's 1533-position model. The record is from RNAcentral.